Molecule: ribosomal RNA, 450 nt
Filed under: uncultured bacterium
Lineage: Bacteria
Description: partial 16S ribosomal RNA
Rfam family: Bacterial small subunit ribosomal RNA
Source: RNAcentral
GUGGGGAAUCUUCCGCAAUGGACGAAAGUCUGACGGAGCGACGCCGCGUGAGUGAAGAAGGCCUUCGGGUCGUAAAGCUCUGUCAUCAGGGACGAACGGCCGGUGGAGUGGAAAGCCACCGGAUUGACGGUACCUGAGAAGGAAGCCACGGCUAACUACGUGCCAGCAGCCGCGGUAAUACGUAGGUGGCAAGCGUUGUCCGGAAUUAUUGGGCGUAAAGCGCGCGCAGGUGGGAUCUUAAGUCCAUUUUGAAAGUUCGGAGCUCAACUCCGUGAUGGGAUGGAAACUGGGAUUCUUGAGUACCGGAGAGGAAAGCAGAAUUCCCCGUGUAGCGGUGAAAUGCGUAGAUAUGGGGAGGAACACCAGUGGCGAAGGCGGCUUUCUGGACGGUGUCUGACACUGAGGCGCGAAAGCUAGGGGAGCGAACGGGAUUAGAUACCCUGGUAGUCC